This 488-nucleotide ribosomal RNA is filed under the name uncultured bacterium. RNAcentral's name for it is "bacterial SSU rRNA". It matches the Rfam family "Bacterial small subunit ribosomal RNA", at positions 29 to 491 of the family's 1533-position model. The record is from RNAcentral.
AACGAACGCUGGCGGCGUGCCUAACACAUGCAAGUCGCGCGAGAAAGGGGCUUCGGCUCCGAGUAAAGCGGCGCACGGGUGCGUAACACGUGGAUAAUCUGCCUUCGGGUCCGGGAUAGCCUUCCGAAAGGAGGGCUAAUACCGAAUAAGCCCACGGGAGCCUUGGCUCCUGAGGGAAAAGCUGGCCUCUGUUUACAAGCUAGCGCCGGAAGAUGAGUCCGCGGCCCAUCAGCUAGUUGGCGGGGUAAUGGCCCACCAAGGCAACGACGGGUAGCUGGUCUGAGAGGACGAUCAGCCACACUGGAACUGAGACACGGUCCAGACUCCUACGGGAGGCAGCAGUGGGGAAUCUUGCGCAAUGGGCGAAAGCCUGACGCAGCAACGCCGCGUGAGUGAUGAAGGUCUUCGGAUCGCAAAGCUCUUUCGGCGGGGAAGAACGGCCGAGGGCGUGAACAAUGCCUUGGUGUGACGGUACCUGCAGAAGAAGC